UUUACUUCUAACGGUGCUAAGCCAGCUGCGGCAGAGGAAGCUCCCAGCCUGCGCCUGCCCGCCGGUGCCUCCCACUCACCUGCUAUUAAGGCUUUCUCCCAGUGACGCUGCACUCCCUCGCCAAAGCCCUGCGCCGCCCGCAGUCGCCUCCUGCCGGCUCCAGGUGUGCCCCCUCGCCAGGGAGCGGGCGCCGUCUUCCUCACGUAGGCCUGUCGUCGCAGCCGCAGCUCACGGUCUCCACAGGGAACAACUUCGUCUUAAAGUCAACUCAUGAAAGUUCUACUUGGUCCAUGUCUGCAUACAUCUGCUGCUCUCUACCUCCAGGGUCAUAUGAAGCAGAAGGAUCCAGCAUGGAGGCGCCUGCAGGGCCUUGGCUCCAGGACAGGACAGUGUACGGAAAGGUUCCCGUGAGGAGCACACCCCCUUUGUGCCCCGACUGAGGCGGGGCCUCCGCUUCUCCAGGCCUUUGACCUUCAGCUGCAGACCAGAGGCUUCUCUUCUGUGACAUCCCCUGUGGCUGACUCUACAUCUUCAGGUCCAAACAAGAAGCCCAGCAUGUGGUUGGUUGACUUGCAUUUUGGAGGACUCAUAUUCCACUCCUGGGACUAUUGCUAGCUCCCAUCUAUGGGACUGCAUGGAAGAAAGCCGUAUGUGAGUGGCUCCUGAACAAAAGCAGGCCAUUUCCGUAUUAGAAAUGGCAGUUACGCUCUUGACUCCUUUGGGCCCUUAUGACCUCCACUCAGACAUGACUUUGGAAGUGUCUGACCCCCACAGCCCUGCACACUGGAGCUUGUGGCUAAAGCCCAAGAGUGUGCCUCCCAGCUGUGACUGGAUUUUGGAUCAGAAAAUCCCCAAUUGCUGCUGCCUGGUAUACACCAUUUGAAAGACAAUUAUUAGCAUGGUCUUGGGCCUUAAUUGAGGCUGUCUCCGUGACAGAGGACAUGAAAUAUUUUUGAAGCCUGAGAUAACCCAUAAUGUCAUGGGUGAUGUCAGAGAAACAUGCUGAUAGGGAAGGCAGCACCCCGAAGAGUUCUGUAACCAAACUGAAAUUGUUUGUGCAGGAGCAGGCUGCCCGGGGAAUGCUAGGAGGCCCACACGAUACCCGUGAGCAGGUCGCGUUUCCUCUCAGACAGACACUGGAGCCCCCCUGAUGAGGUGCCGGAACCCACUGCUGCAUGGGCUGUGCCGUAGGAACAGCUCUCGGCUGAACGACAAAGAGCUGCUUGGUUUGCGGAUGGUAGUUCCAGGCGGAAUGGACAAUACCCUGUUUGGAAAGCGGCUGCCUUAAGACCGCAGGUGGCAAGACUCUGGUUGGGAGGAAGGAGGAGCAAAUCAGCUCAGUCGGCUGAAAUGCAAGCUGUUUUCCUUGCAGUGAUGGAAGAAUUGAACAGUGAUGAAAGCCCAUAAUGUUGGGAUUUCUAUGGAUUCAUGGGCUGUAGCCAGUGGCCUGGCUGUAUGGUCAGGUAGAUGAGCAAUGGAAAACGACUAUGAAAGGAAUGCCCUUGUGAGCUGCAGCUGUAUGGAAAUCACUCUGGGAAUUUAAGGCGCUCACUAAAGUAGGAGAUGUAGAUUCCCAUCAGAAGAUGCCCCUUCCAGGAGUGGAAGGUGACUGGAUCCACCAGAUGGACCUGUCAGGUGCUGUCCUUAGAGGUGGCUGCCUGGGCCCGUGAAAUGAGUGGACAUGGGGGAGCUGCAGCAGUGCAGACACGGGAUGAACCUACACAGACUCCUCUUGCACCCUGUGAGGCACAGAAUGCCAACAAGAACUAUUCUGACUGUCUACUGAGGAAACUUGUGUGUGGGGAAGAUUCCCCAGGGGGCAUGCCCUGCUUGUAGCUGGCCAGUGGAUUACUUUGGAGCAAUGCUAGUAGCUCCUGGAGGCUAUACGUGGGUCCUGAGCAGAAGAGACACCCAGUGGUAGAUGCAAAUGCGCAAGAUACCAUUAAAGGAUUGGAACAGAAGAUUCUGCACCAAUUUGAACCACCAAGUUACAUCUCAGACCAAGGGACACACUUUACAGCCCAUGAUGUCCCAUGGUGGGCGAAAAGACAUACCAUAAGAUGGAUGUACCAUUUAGCAUGCCAUCUGCAGAGCAGUGCUUUAAUAGGAAAUUGGAAUGGGCAGUUUAAACAUUGGCUGUCUAAAAUGGGGAAAGAUAAAGGCAUGAGGGAGUUGGCUUACACACCUUCAGAAGUGUGUGCUGCUCACACUGAACAUGAGGGGUGCUAAGACAGGGUAGAUUCCUCUGCUUUUCCGGGGGUCCUGGGGAAGCUGUGGUGGGGGAGGAUGUUAGUGCCACCAUACAGUUCUUCCCCACGUCACUGCCACUUCCUUUUUUCCUACCUGAUUCAGUGGUUCCAGGUCCAGGGCUUCCUCUCUGGGGGCCAGAAGCAGGGAAUAUUUAUAAAAGCAAGAAAGUGUAACCACACCCUAAAUAUUUAUGCCACAAUUCUUAAGGGCCUGAUGGGGUGGACUGUGCCCUCACCCCAUGUGUCCAGGUCAGGGCUGACAGCAGAGCCGUGCUGCCUAGUGGCCAGGACAGCCAGCUGGAUCUGCACCUGGCUAACCCUACCUUCCGUGAGUGUGAGUGGAUUAAGGGGAGGCACUUGUGAGACUGGUAUUGUGCCAGCCAUCUGGACCAGCACAGUAGCCAUGCUUAUGUCCCCUUCACAGGUGGAAAAGUCGGGAUAAAGAUACAUGACAAAUGGAGAGAGGGAUAAACUGUAGCUUAGGAUAAAAGGGAUAGAUAAGUGGCUUAUGCACCGAGAGAAAUCCACAUUUUAUUAUUACCUUGAGAGAGGCUCGGACCAAGAGAAUAACAUACCUCCCAGGCACAGUUCUUAGCCAAAGCAUACCAGCUGUCCAAGAGAGCGAAACUAUGUGUUAGACAAGACCAUCUCUGCUUUUGCAACCGGGCAAGGUCGCAUGGCAGCCUGUAAACUGGAGUUUUAUCACUGGGAGAAACAAGGGUGAUAGAUCUGUUGACAAACUGAACCAAUAUGAACCAAUAUACAAGUGUUUGUAAUGACUUUAUAGGUCAAAUGAGUUAUCACUGUAAAUCUGUGCCCAGCACACACUGGCCUCUCCAAAUGCCAGGCCUAUUUGCAUGGUACUAUUGUUCUGUUGUAUAAAUGCUACAUGAGAUGUACGGGUGUGACGGCAUGAUCGUUUUGCUGUUAAGGAAUCCAUGUUUGCAGACCAGGGAGUGGACUGCAAUAAAAUGCCCUCCCUAUUACUUUUCUUUCUUCCUCCUUUACUACCUUCUUCCCUGAAUUCUUGCUUCCCUGGACUCGUCCUCACCAAUACAACAGCACAGUAGCUGUUUAGCUCCAUCCUGCACCUGAGCUAAGAUGCAGGAGGGGAGGCAGAAGAAGCUGGUAGGGGCCUGGUGCAGGGUGCAGUGGCCCCUCAUCUGAGGCACGAAGGUGGGUCACAUUGAAGAGGAACAGCAGGGGCAAGGCCAGAGCCCAGAGGAGUCCAGUGUGACUCCUGCAAAGGGUGAUCGGGCAGUGACCAGCUUUGCCUGUGCCCACGGCGGCCAGGUUACCUCUGGGCUUCAUCACGUGACCUCUCUGACAAGAGGUUUGUAGAGGCUUUAAAAGAAAUAAAGAAGAUGCUCUUGUAGUUUUCUUGGUGUUUUAUAAAAUACCUCUGGUAAACCCUAGAGCUUAUUAACAAAACAAAUUCACUUCUCCCUCUUCCUGAAUUGGGUGAUGACUUGGUCCACCCCCACUGCUGUGUAGUUACAGCUUGUCUUAGGGCUCUCCCUGAUGCUUGGAGGGAGAGAUGAACUUUAUCUAGGCUGCUCACCCUCUCCUCGGCUGCUGGAAGGCCUCUUGUGACUGCCCUUGCAGCCACAGCUGGGCUGGGCUGGGGCUGCUGAUUACAGGGACAGGGAUGCCUGUCCCCCACCCUGGCCAGGACCCAGGCACAGUUCUCUUAACUUCACCUGUCGGGACUGCACAGCCCUGAGGUUACCUCAGCUUCCAGCUCCACCGACCAGCUUGAGGUUUCCAGAUGCUGUUGUGUUUUUUUUUUUGUCUUCUACUUUUCUGCCAGAAACAGCUCCACUUAAAACGGGGGUGUGUGAAAAUAUAGGGUUUUAUACUUCCAGAUAGAGCAAAGGAUCUUUGAUAUGUAAUGACCGUGUGUGUGUGUGUUGUGAGAAAGAGAGAGAGAGAGAGCGUGGGAGCUCUUUAAUGGUCUGCCUCUCCAAGCCCUCAUUAAAAGGGUAUCAAGAAUUCAUUGCCAAGACUAACAUCAAGAAGGUUUCCUCCUAUUAUUUUCGUCUUGGAGUUUCAUGGUUUCAUGUCUUAACAUUUAGACUUUAAUCCACUGGAGUAUAUUUUUGUGUAUGGUUUGAGAUGGAGCUCCAAUGUCAUUCUUUCACAUGUGGUUAUCCAUUUUUCACAAUACAGUUUGUUGAAGAGACUCUCCUUUUCCUUUUGUUGUCCUUGGCUCCUUAAUCAGAUGAUCAUAUAUGUUUAUUUCUGUGCUCACUCUUUUAUUGUGGUGUGUGUCUGUCAUGCCAGUACCAUGCUGAUUUAAUUACUGUAGCUUUGUAGUCUAGUUAGAAAUCAGGAAGUGUGAUGCCUCCUACCAUGUUCUCUCUUGAUUGUUUAGCUAUUCUGGGUCUUUUGUGGUUCCAUAUGAAUCUUAGGAUUUUUUUUUCUAGUUUUGUUAAAAAAAAACACCAUUGGGAUAUUUAUGGGGAUAGAGGUGUGCCAAGGAGGAGAGACACCUCUGUCUACCACCACCACCAUUGUGGCCAGUACCAGCUUCUGAGUAUCAGCUCCUGAGACUAUCAACAGUGCUGAUGCUGCUGUGCGUGUCUGUUUAUACUUGUCCCUGGAUGUCCACUCAUGGAUCAGCAGACUGAAACUGAACUGACCCAUUUGCCUGCCAGGUGUCCCAACUGGUGGCAGCUGCCCUUCUACAGACACAUUCAGAGUAGAACUCAGGAGCUGCCUGUGGCUCCAGGCCCAGCACAGUUUCUUCUCCCUCAACCCUGUCCUGGCCUCUCCUUUCAACUGCCCUGUUACCAGGGCACUGAAUCUCUCCCCUCGUGUCCCUCUCGCACGUCUGAAGCAUUUCACUUGAUGUCAGGGGGCACAGCUUGCAGCAGCUGGGUGCACAGGGGCAGUGCACUUAUUUGCUAUGAGAAUCAAGACAGUCGCCCCAUUCCUUAAGGACUUGCUAUGAACACUGUAAAUGUCACAGGGACCUGUUCAUUGGCUCCUACAGAUGUGGAACUUGAGGUGCAGAGGGAAUGAGCCCAAUGACCUUUGUGGAACGGUGAGGGUUGGGUGGUGCUAUAGGAAGAUGGACCAGUGGCCCCGCUGUUCCUGCCACCCCCAUUCACUCUGUCCCCCAGUAGCCCCUUCUACAGCCAUCUGUGUGCCUUAACUUCUGUGCUCCUCACCAGGCCCCUGCUCUGUCAGCCCAGGUGUGCAGUGGGCCUACCUGUGGCCCAGCAGAGAGGAUUCUGGACUCCCUGACAGGGCUCUGGGGUAGAGCCUAUGAGCAGAGUCUGUGGCCCAGGACUUCACAGGGCCUAUCUGGGUACCAACCCCAGCCUCCUCAUCCAGGUUGUGGCAUCUCAACAUGGAGCCACCUGAGGACAUGGUGCCUGGACAGAUAUGGAAGAGGCCACCCAAACCUCCUCAGGUCUCUGCCUGAUAUGCUUUUGCAGGAUAAGCCUCCAGAGGAGGAGCCCACAGAGCCUGUCACCCCUUAGGAGGUGCUCACGGAGCCUGUCACCACUAAGGUGCAGUCCACGGAGCCUCUCAUCCCCUCAGGAGGAGCCCACAGAGCCUCUCACCCCUUCAGGAGGAGCCAACAGAGUCUGUCACCACUCAGGUGCAGCCGACUGAGCCUGUCAUGCCCUCAGGAGGAGCCCACGGAGCUUGUCAUCCUUCAGGAGGAGCCCACGGAGCAUGUCAUCCACUCAGGAGGAGCCCACGGAGCCUAUCAUCCCCUCAGAAGGCACCCAUGGAGCCUGUCAUCCCCUCAUUAGGAGCCCACGGAGCCUAGCAUCCCUCAGAAGGAGCCAACGGAGCCUGUCACCACACAGGUGCCGCUCCCCGAGCCUGUCAUCCCCUCAGGAGGAGCCCACGGAGCCUGUCAUCCUCUCAGGAGGAGCCCUUGGAGCCUGUCAUUCCCUCAGGAGGUGCCCACGGAGCCUGCCAUCCCUCAGGAGGUGCCUAUGGAGCCUGUCAUCCCUCAGGAGGAGCCAACGGAGCCUGUCACCACUCAGGUGCAGCUAUCUGAGCCUGUCAUCCUCUCAGGAGGAGCCCAUGGAGCCUGUGAUAACUCAGAAGGAGCCCACAGAGCCUGUGGUAACUCAGGAGGAGCCCACGGAGCCUGUGGUGACUCACGAGGAGCCCAUGGAGCCUGUGGUCCCUCACGAGGAGCCCACGGAGCCAACAGUGCCUAAGGCUGCCCCAACACCUGUCAGCCCUUACCUGAUACCGUGCCUUGUCCCAGCGCUCUUUGUGUUACUGUUGCUAAUCUUAUGCAUCUGGUGCUGCAAGCAGGUGAGGGAGCCCUACCCACACAGCCCUGUGCCCAAUUCUCCAGUACCCUCUCAGGUACCCUGGCACCUGCCUGCCCUAGGACCCUGCUCUAAGGUCAUCACCUGACCAAAUGCUUAGGUACAGAUGCUGCCCCCCCAUCCCUGGGCCCACACAGCUGGAUGCUGAGGGGCUCUGCACCUCAGGCUUGCCUCAAGGAAGUGGCCUAUGAGAUGCCAUGGCCACUGGGGAGAAGUGACCCAGGCUCUGAGACGGGGCUGCCUCACAGGAGCCAGUGCUCUGCGGGACUCAGGUGGACAAAGUCUGGGGAGAGACCUCUACUGUGGAGGGGAAAAGGGAUUCCGAAGGGGCAAAAAUGGCCACAAAGGGAGAAGCAGGUGCCCCAGGAUUCCUGUCCUCUGGGGCAGCUGUGCCUGUCAAACCUGAUGUGGCCUCUGUCCAUUCCUAGAGACUUGUCAUUCCUUCCCAGUCAGUACUCUGGGCCAGGUUGUGCAGGGACCUGUGUUGUGCAUGGGACAGAAAUAGAACAGCUGCAUUCCUGCCACAGCAGCUCCAGGUCAUGUCUGGCCUGCUGUUGGUCCCUGGGGUGCCUAAACAGAGCAACAGCAAAGGCCAGAGGCUGGCCCGGGGCGGGGUGGGUGCAGAGGUGCUGGCCAGCCGGCCCCGGAAGGAAGUGUGUGGGGCUCUGGGAGAGGGAGGACCUGGAAGAGGUGGGAGAGGGUGGCUCCAACAAGAAGCCAGCAGGUCCCAGGCGGGUGAAGGGGGCCGCGAGGGCAGCAAGUCAGGCUGUGGGGUGGCCUUCCCCGAGGGCGGGGCACUGGGGAUGGGGGCUCAUGAGCUGGGGAGAGCAGGAAGGGAAGGGGGAGUGACUCCUGGGUUCAUACGACAUGAGGGCUGUCGAUGAACACCCUGAGUGGGACGUCUCUACCGGGAGCAGCCGCCCGAGCCUGGCUGUGAGGGAUGCCCAGCCCAGGUGAGCACAGAGCCCAUGGACCAGCGAAGCAGGCAUGGCUCACCUGCCGUGGGACCCCAACCAGGGCCCAUUGCUGGGGCACAGCAUCCCGAGGCAGGGAACGAGUAUCUGGGAUUAGUGGGAGACAGGCCUCCCUGCCCAGGGCUAUACCCUGCAUGGGUGCAGUGUAGCCUGGGGAGACCAAUUCGCCAGUGUCAAGUGAACACAGCCCUGUGCCUGCAAAUGCUCACAUCCCUGACAGCCCUGCUUCAAGUUACAGAGCCCCAGGACCAGGUUUCUCUAAGGAGUGCUGCCUUAGGGAAUAAAAGAGACAUGGUAGAGUUUCUUGCCCUUUUGGGGAAGAGCCAUAUUGCAGACUAAAAGGAGUUUGCUGGUUUUUUCCCCUGGAGGACUCUCCCCUAAGAUACAGGGCACUACUCCUUUGUCCUUGAGUUCUCCCAGCAAACAUUUGCUGAGUGGCCAGUACAUGACUGGUGCAGGGCAACAGAUACCGUAUCGCUGCCCCAGGAGCUGCCCUGCCAGGUAGGAGACACUGUUUUCUCCUCCUAGGACCCACAGUUGGGUGACCGGAUAUGCCCCACGGUGAUUGUGUCUGGGUACCUAGACAGGGUAAGAGCUAUAGAGGUGAGAAGGGCCCUAGGGAGAAGCUGAGAUGCUGGGCGGGGCUGAGGGAGGACGGGGGCAGCCCAGAAGGCACAGCCUGGGCAGAAGCCUUUGCAGAAGUCCCUUCAGCAGACUGAGGGCCAGAGCCGGCUGCAGGGCCCUUGAGGCCCACUGAGAGGAGGGUUGACGGGGUGUGUGGAGGGGUCUAAAAGAAUCCCGCUCCCAAGGAAGAGCUAGGGCCACACCCAGUGGGUCUAGCAAAGAGCCAGAUGGGACUCUCUCCCCUCCUUUGGAGGCAGCAACCAAGCUGCAGGCUUCCUGACAGCCACAUCUGCUUUUCAGGGCCAACAGGACACAUUGGGUGACUUCGCCCACAGCUGCACGCAGGGCCCACUGAUGUGCUGUUAGUGCAGGAACAUGGUAAGCCGGGCAUAGGGAUGCUCCCCCUGCACUAGGGGCCUUUGCUUUUUGCCCCUGUGCAUUUCACUCAGGGACUGAUGGUCAGAGAGUCCUGUCCAGGCAUCUGCCAAGGAAGACGCCCAAGACAUGGAGGCAUGGUGCUCAUGAGCUCCCCAGCUGGCCCUGGGCAUGGCACCCAUGCAGUCCCUUGCACUGUGGACUCAUGGAUGUCAAGAAAAUUCCUUAUCUAGAGCAUUACCCAACUCUUCAAAACUGAGCUAAAAAGGGCUACAGGGAGGUAGGCCAGCCAGGCUCUGGUCUCCCAGGUAUCAUCCCUCUCCUCUGAGCCCCCCACCCUGGGGCUGUGCUGGGUCCCCCCACCCCACCCGCUGAGACUCAGGACUCAGGAGUGGAUGGGAGCAUGGCCAAGCCCCCUCAGUACUGCCUGGAUGACAAUGACUGGUUUUUCCAGGUAGUAAAUAUUCUCAUAUCAUUGCCUGUGCAAUGGGGGGAAUCCCAAAUAUACAAUUGUCGCCUGGGAAUUCAGUUAACAGUGACAAUUUUUACUGAGUUCUCCCUCAUGGGACAGAUGCUAGCCUCAGAAAUGUACAUAUUUCCCAGUUUUAAUUCUCCAAGUAACUGCACAUGUAGGUACUAAUACCAUCCCCGGUUUACCAAGACAGCCCUGACACACAGACAGGACAAACGCCUUGCCCUAGGUCACAAGGCCUGGAGGUGGCAGAGCUGACUGGAACCUCGAGGCCUGGCUCCUCCCUUCUCACUGCCCUGCCUGCCUUUCGGGGCAGCAUUCAUCACUUACAGUGGCUUUACCCCCAAAUUGACAGAGGACUGCCCUACUCAGACCCUGGGGCCAAGGACAGCAGUGGUCCUGGCUCACCCGGGAGGCAUGUCUGAGAUUCCUCAUGUGUAGACUCCUUUCACUGAGCACGCCAGGGGACCCAGAGGCCAUUACUCUCCCAACAUCUAUCUGAGGGCUACAUGGCCACAUUCAGGGAACCCCAACUCUCAGCAGCUGGGCAGGUGGGCAUUUAGAGGCUGUGAGCAUUAUCAUUCUCUUUCUAUACCAAGAGGUCCUUGGAAGUGGCUGCCUCCACAGCCUGUCACCCAUCUGCAGGUGCCCCACUCCCCUGGCACUAGCGGCCUGCAGCAGCUCAUCCCUGCAGCACAGUCAUGGACAGGCCCUGCACAGGGUUUGGGCUGCAGUCGCAGUCUUAUCUUGUCUUCCCUGCCCUCAAAUGGCAGCAAGGGAAGUCAUAACAAGAUCUGAGGAAAGGGAGUCCAGAGCCAGGACAAGGGGCUGCCUAGGAAAGGUAGGGCGGAUUUUGAUGCCUGGACAGAGUCUCAAAGGAGGAGCCCAGGCUGGAGACCAGCAUCCAGGGACAGGAGGGCAUCCAUAAAGGCCCACCCUGCCGGUCCUGCUGGGUCCUGAACUUGACUCCUUUGAACCAAGGAAACCAAAGCCUUCUCCAAAUUCCAGUGGCAUCUUAGUGAACUUCUCUGUCUACUCUUCUGUGAGUAUAGGCACAUUUGCCUUGAUUGUUUGUUUAUAGUUUAUGAUUCGUAGUUAAGACAGAAACAGUAGCCAAGACAGAAAGAAUUUGUUCACCAUGAGGAUUUAUUUGUUAUCUUUCAGAAAGUUGCAAACUGUUGAGAGUUGGACUUGAUUAAUGAUUGUGCAUGGAGACCCCAAUACAGAAUGUGAUUGUUGUUAACCAUUUCAUCAAUAAGUAUGAGAGCUGCCUUCUCGGCACCACUCUUGCGCUGUCACGCCUUGAGUCCCCUGGCUGGUCCUUAGGUCUUCGACGACCAAUCGCGUCUCUUCCCUCAUCUGCGGAUCAGAGACAGGGAAGGGGCCCGACAAGUGGCACCCGAACGGGGACCUGAUAGACGGUCAGAACUUAGGGCAAAGAACCUCUGCUUGGGGGCACUUGCAAUUCACAAGUGGGGAAUGCACUGAAGAUCGUCGAUUUGGUAAGAUUCCUGGGAAAGUGCGCGCAGGGAACAGGAUCAAGCCGUCAGGGACACUAUAACGGGCCAAACUGAAACUAAAGCAGCUAAACCGGAGGAUUAUUUAAAAUUACUCCGUGCCCUCCUAAAAACAUCAGGAGUGAAAACUUCUAAAAAGGAUUCUGCUCAACUCUAUAAAUAUAUUUAAAAAUAUUGUUAUUGGUUGCCACCACAAGGGACACUUAAACAGGAUGAUUGGGAGAAUGUAUUAAGAGAUUUUUAAAAAGCCGACAGAUAGGGAAACGUCAUCCCUGUGCCUGUUUGGUCUUUAUGUAAUUUGAUCACUCUCGCCUUGCAGCCUUUGCAAACCCCCACUGUCUGAAACCAAGUCAGACACACAAGAGUGGGAGAGAGAACUUUUAGAUGAUGUGGAAAAAUCAAGCAAGCGGUCUUCAUCCCCACAUCCACCUGACUCCUCUUUGUCCUACUCUUCCUCUUCUUCAGAGACUGAUGAUGAGAGUUCUGUUUGUUCCUCUCAUCGUAAAAAAUCUCUUCUCUGUUCCUGCUACGUCUCCUUUCGCAGGCAGGAAUACGUAAAGCCCAGAGGGAGGGUGAUAUAGAUGCUUACCUGACACCCUUAGUAGCACCAGUCAAUUUAACUCCUUUUGGUCCAGGUGAGGAUCCUGACUUUCCACAAACACUUUAUACACCUAUUCCUUACAAGACAUUAAAAGAUUAAACAGGCUAUUUCUUCAUAUGGUACUAAUUUUCCAUAUGUUGUGGGUCUCUUGAGGGGGUUGGCAGAACAGCAAAGAAUGAUUCCUCAAGAUUGGGAUUUAUUGGCUCGUACUUGUUUAGACUCCUCUGAGUUUUUACAAUUUAAAACGUGGUGGUGUGAGGAAGCCAAAGCACAAGCUUUAAGAAAUCAGUGUGACAAUCCUCCAAUUCUUAUAACUGCUGAACAACUAGCAGGACGAGACUGGCUGCCGAUAGAAAGACAAGCUGGGUAUGAUGACACGUAGUAGUUGGACACAAAGAAUUUUCCACAAGCCCGUGGAAUUCCCCUGUAUUUGUUGUAAAAAAGAAAUCGGGAAAUUGGAGACUUUUACAAGACUUCAGACAAAUUAAUGCAGUUCUUAAACCUAUGGGACCUUUACAACAAGGCCUCCCUUCGGCUAUGGUUCCAAAAGACUGGAACAUGGCUGUAAUUGAUCUUAAAGAUUGUUUUUUUACAAUUACUUUAGCUAUAAUAGACAGGGAAAAGUUUGCUUUUACCGUCCCUUCUUUAAAUUUGCAGGCACCUUCAGAAAGACUCCAAUGGAAAGUACUUCCUCAAGGAAUGUUAAACAGCCCUACAAUUUGUCAAAAUUAUGUGCACAGAGCUCUUCAGCCUAUAUGUGAAAAACGGCCUUCAGUUUAUAUCAUUCAUUAUAUGGAUGAUAUUCUCAUAGCCCUACCUAAACAUCUAUCUCUUACCAAUAUUCUCAAUGAGACUGAAACUGAAUUAAAACAAUGGGGAUUACAAAUAGCGCCAGAUAAAAUACAAAUACAAUACCCAAUGAAUUAUUUGGGAAAGAAAAUUCAAUAAUCCCUCAGAAAAUUCAGAUUAGGAGAGAUCAUCUUAAAUCUUUAAAUGAUUUUCAAAAGCUCUUAGGAGAUAUUAAUUGGAUCUGAUCAUUAUUAGGAAUUCCAACUUAUAAAUUACAACAUCUUUUAAUACUUUAAAAGGACCCUCAGAUCUUAAUAGUCCUAGAGACUUAACCUCAAAAGCUGAGGAAGAACUCAAGUGGAUAGAACACAUUCAAAAAGCUCAAUUAUCAAGAAUUGAUUUACACAAACCCUUACUUUUAAUAAUUUACUUUACUCCUCAUUCUCCCACAGGAUUGCUCUGUCAAUGUGAUGGUUGGUGAGAAUGGGUAUUUCUGCAGUAUCAAACUAAACCCUCGUUACAACCUUACAUUGACAAAGUAGCCUCCAUUAUCCUGAAAGGAUGACAGAGACUAAGACAGAUGAUUGGUCAAGACCCUCACUCCAUUAUUCUUCCCUUAUCUAAACAAAAUAUUAUGCAGGUAUUUCAAGAAAAUACUCAUUGGCAAAUAGCAUUUUCAGAUUAUUUAGGAAAUAUUGACUGUCAUUACCCUAAGAAUAAAUUAUUUUCCUUUUUUCAGCACCAUCAAUGGAUCCUUCCUCAAAAAACUUCUCCUAAUCCAUUAAUAAAUACUGUUAUCUGUUUUACAGAUGGUACAAAAUCUUUUAAAGCAGCCUAUACAACUUGUUCUGGUUUGUCAAUAACUUUUCAAAUGUCUUUUACCUCUACACAACAAAAUGAGUUAUAUGCUGUAUUGCAAGCUCUGCAAGAUUUUCCAAGUCUUCUCAGUAUUGUUACUGACUGCUUAGGUUGCUUUUUCUGUUCCUCUAUUAGAAGCUGCAACAUUGGGCACCGUAUACAGUCUCCUAUUAACAAUAUUUUCUCAAUUACAGGUGUGUAUCCGUCAACGUCUAUAUCCCUUUUUCAUCACUUAUAUACGAUCACAUUCUCAUUUACCAGGUCCUUUAUCAUACUGUAACGAUAAAGUAGACAAGCUUGUUUCUUUAAUUACGCACCAGCUUAACGAUAUCACGACCUGACUCAUGCUCCUUCCUUCACCUUACAGAAGCGUUUUUCUCUCACUGCAUCUGGAGCUCACAAUAUCUUGAAUUCUUGCCCAACCUGUUCUCAAAUUAAUUCUCCUCAUUUGCAAGCAGGAACUGUUCCCAGGGGAAUGCACUCUAAUGCCCUGUGGCAAAUGGAUGUUACUAUUGUUCCUGAAUUUGGAACUCUUAAACAUGUUCAUGUUUCUGUUGAUACUUAUUCUUCAUGGGCGACAGCUUUACCAGGAGAAUGAUCUCAUCAUGUUAUUACUCAUCUUUUACAAGCAUUUGCAGUUCUAGGCGUUCCUGCCACCAUAAAAACUGACAACGCUCCAGUUUACCUUUUAUCUACGCUAAAGAAAUUUUUUCAGCUGUAUAAUAUUACUCAUAAAACAGGCAUUCCUUACAAUUCUACAGGUCAAGCUCUAAUUGAACAUCGUCAUCUUACUCUUAAGCAUUAUUUGUUAAAACAAAAAGGGGGAUUACUCCCUGAUAUGAUAAAAUUAACUGCAAAUCAACGCUUAAAGCAUGCUUUACAUGUUCUUAAUUUUGAUCUCUUAAAUGGUGAUAGACGAUCAGCUAUGGAAAUACAUUUUUCUGACAAUAUUUCUUUUCCUGAAACAACAGCAGUUCCUGUGUGGUGGUCUCCAAUAGGUUCUUCACAGUGGUAUAAAGGUUAUAUCAAAGUGUGGGGCAAAGGGUUUGUUUGUGUCAUUACAGAGGAUCAAUGUUUGAUUUGGCUGCCCAGAAAAAGCAUUAAGAUACGAUAUGAAGAAGAAUUCCCAACAUCAACAUCCUCUGGAAGAGCUGCUCCAGAGGAUGGCCACCAACAAACUUCACCACUGGAAUGAAGCUUCCUAGAUAGUGAAGUUUGUAUUUCUAUUUUUGGUGAUAGCAUUCAUACAUGUACACACUGCACAAGCUUGCACUAUUACAGCUAGUGUGAGCAGUCCUCCAUAUUUAGGCUGAGUAGUAGUCCUUCGGUGUGUAUCCACCUGUUCUACUCCUGUAGGUCCUAUGGUAUGGAAAAAAGAUGCCAAAAAGAUAUAUAGACAAAAGUAUGGAGGAAAACUUGGAUGGAAUAAUGCAACUGAUGAGUCUAAAAGAGAUAAUACUCGCUAUGACAUUUAUAAAACAGUUUUGACCAGAAAUGAUAUUGGCAAUUAUUAUUGUGAGAAAUAUUAAAAAGGAGCUCCUGAUAUAUUAUAUAAAAGUAGUUAUGUCUACUUAGACAUAUCACUCGCUCCAGAGAGGGAAUUUUCUUCACCUAACAUGUGGUUACAACUUGCAAGUCGAGGAUUGAACAAGUCAUCUUUUGUGUAGCAGGAGAUUCCUCUUAUUAGUGGAUUAUUAAAGAAAAAUUUGAUAGGUAUAGGACUCCCUUUUUCUGUUUUCACUAAUAUUUCAGGAAUAAACAUUACUCACUCUCCUGAAGUUCUUACUCAUGAAAUUCAAUUGAACUUACCUGUCAGUACUACUAUGGUUUCUGAGUGUAUAUGUAUUAAUUGCACUCAUAUUCCUUCCCACUGUAAUUCUACUAUUCGUGUAAAAUGUCCUUUUGGAUAGACUUCCAAAUGGCUGGGUGUUUUUAUGCAAUAAAAAAACAUAUCAAGCCUUUUCUUCACAUUAUCAAGGUGUUUGUGGUGUGGGACGUAUUCUCCCUGCUCUUUAGACCAUCCUGGAUAUCAACACAGACAGGUUUCUCGAGCCCUGCCACCUGAUUGUGACGACAAUUUGAAGUUGUUGGAUCCUGUUGCCGUAGCUGUCUGCUGCAUUCAUCUUACCAGUUCCAGGACUCGUAGGAAUGCAGAACGAAAUAUCCAAGAUGGCCUAUGCAUACAGUAAAACAACAAUUCUGACUGCUUCUAUAUUAUCUGAACUCAACCAAGAACUGGGAGAAGUAUGAGUUGCAGUACUUCAAGAUCGCGCUACUAUAGACUAUCUAUUGUUAAAAGAGCAUAUGGGAUGUGAACAGUUUCCAGGCAUGUGUUGUUUUAAUCUGACUUUUCUCAAACUAUUCACAAUCAAAUAGAUAAUAUUCAUCAUAUUAUUGAUAAGUUUUCUCAAAUGCCUGAGUUACCUAACUGGUUUUCUUGGUUUCACUGGAUAUGGCCAGUAAUUGUAGGCCUGCUUCUUUUGUGUAUUUGCCUUCCUAUCUUUAUAGCCUGAAUGCAUCAUAUAGUCAUCAGUUUAUUGAAACCAUUGCAUGCUUAUGUUACUUUCCUGGAAGUGAUGUCUAAGAAAUGAUUGUUCUUUGUAUUGUUACUCAUGAAAGUCCAUGCACUAAAUCUUUGUAUUUUGUGAUUUCUACGAUUAAGGCUGGACAUAAAAGUGAGAGUAUGAAAACAAACAUCAACUAACAUCACUCAACUCCUAAUGCCUCCUUUUUCUGUAUGUUCUCCCCCUGUGUGGCCCCAGAGAUGGCUGGUUAGCCAGAGACGGGUAAGAUUCCUCAUGGGAGGAACAACCUAAGACAGGCACAGUCAUAAAGGGUCAACAGGUGAGGCGGUGGGGGCCAACUGAGGCGAGGCUUAGAACCUUGUCCCCCCAUUUAUAUGAGGCAUUCUUUGCUGCUCUCGUCCAGCUAGGUUAAUACUUAAAAAAUUAAAAACGGAUCUUUCGCUUGAGUUACAACAAUCAUUAUUUCAAAGUUCUUUAAUAAAAAGGGGAAAUGUGGGGAUUUAUAUAUAAAGUACAAAAAUCAUAUGUAUAAGCACAUUUGCCUUGAUGGUUUGUUUAUAGUUCAUGAUUUGUAGUCAAGACAGAAACAGUAGCCAAGACAGAAACAGUUUCUGUGACACGAGUGCUCUUGUAUUGUUCAUCAUGAGAACUUGUUCCUUAUGUUCAGAAGGUUGGAAACUGUUGAGAGUUGGACUUCAUUAAUGAUUGUGCAUGGAAACCCCAAUACAGAAUCUUAUUGUUGUUAACCAUUUCAUCAAUAAAUAUGAGAGAUGCCUUCUCGGCACCACUCUUGCGCUGUCA
This is a non-coding RNA of Manis javanica (Malayan pangolin), 16089 nucleotides long. The record is from RefSeq and is a predicted model, not a curated record. NCBI's taxonomy places the organism in Eukaryota, Metazoa, Chordata, Mammalia, Pholidota, Manidae.